RNAcentral lists this long non-coding RNA (463 nucleotides) under Zea mays. Its description in RNAcentral is "long non-coding RNA (ZMAY_LNC005229)". The record is from RNAcentral. Lineage: Eukaryota; Viridiplantae; Streptophyta; Magnoliopsida; Poales; Poaceae.
UUGGGGGCAAGCGGUGUCUGAAGAGGAGGGGAAUGUGAGCAACGCUUCCCAGAAGGACACUACGGAGAAGAAGAAGGAUACAACCACUGAGAACACAGCUUCAGAAGGAAGGGCGCGUCGCGUGAGGAAAGCCAGCAUUCGCAUAUCCGGUCCAGAAUGGGCCGUGUAACAUGGCCGUAUUUGGGCCGCGUCUGUAAGACUGCCUCCAACAAGGAUCGGUAUAUGGUUCUGUCCUCUAUAUUUAGCGUCUUCACUCGUUUGAAGGCGCCCAACAACGACCGCUAUUUCAUCCACUAAAAGAUAGAGGGUGUCCUUUGGCCGCUACAUUUAGUGUCUUCCUGUGCAUCCGCUAUCACAGCGGCCGCCGCUGCCGAGGAGGAACGUGCACCAGAUCACAAGGUGGAGGCCGCACGCGCCAUAUCACCGGAAAAGGAAGGAGGUCGUGCGGCCGCCGAUGAGGAGA